This 158-nucleotide unclassified non-coding RNA is filed under the name rhizosphere metagenome. Its description in RNAcentral is "partial ribosomal RNA internal transcribed spacer region". The record is from RNAcentral.
GAAUUUUAGGCCCUAGUCUUAACUGAUAAGGGCUGGUUCUAUCCAUAACACCUGUGCACUGUUGGAUGCUUGCAUCCACUUUUAAACUAAACAUUAUUGUAACAAAUGUAGUCUUAUUAUAACAUAAUAAAACUUUCAACAACGGAUCUCUUGGCUCU